This 68-nucleotide transfer RNA is filed under the name Rhombodera sp. FY-2017. Its description in RNAcentral is "tRNA-Arg". Lineage: Eukaryota; Metazoa; Arthropoda; Insecta; Mantodea; Mantidae. The record is from RNAcentral.
AAGUAAGAAACAAAUUAAUUGUAAUCAGUUUCGACCUGAUAUUAAGAUAUAAAUAAUAUCCUUAUUUU